Prosopis cineraria is the source of this 2970-nucleotide RNA transcript. It is a transcript of the gene named protein RGF1 INDUCIBLE TRANSCRIPTION FACTOR 1-like, with no coding region annotated. The record is from RefSeq and is a predicted model, not a curated record. NCBI's taxonomy places the organism in Eukaryota, Viridiplantae, Streptophyta, Magnoliopsida, Fabales, Fabaceae. The transcript is spliced from 6 exons.
CCAGGUCGCCCACCCUCUUGGCUCUUGUCCACGUAGAGACACACCCAACCUCCUUCCUAUUCCCAGCACUGCCCCAUCCAACGCCUCUCCCUCCUCUUCUUUAAUCUCUCUCUCUUUCUCUCCCUCCUCUGUCUUCUUGUUCAAUUCUAAGUCCAAGGCCGUUUACUCUCUCCCCCACCCCCCCUUCUCUUUCUCUGCAUUUUCCCCUGCAAUUCCCUUCCCUCUACGUCUCUGCCAUUGUCGUCCUUCUACUGAAUUUCAUUGCCAUUCUCUCUUAUUCUUCAACUGCUCACUCAUCCGUUGACCCACAUUCGCCGCCUGCUGGCUAUUGACCACAAUGUCGGUGCCUCCCUGGCUCGAGCCCCUGCUCACCACUUCCUUCUUCAGCGUCUGUCGCUUCCACGGCGACGCCGCCAGGAGCGAGUGUAACAUGUUCUGCCUCGACUGCAAUCGCGACGCAUUUUGCUUUUAUUGUCGGUCAUCCAGGCACAAGGAUCAUCAGGUCAUUCAGAUAAGGCGAUCUUCGUAUCACGAUGUGGUGAGAGUGUCCGAGAUUCAGAAGGUAUUGGACAUAGGCGGGGUUCAGACGUACGUGAUAAACAGCGCGAGAGUCCUGUUUCUGAACGAGAGGCCUCAGCCAAAAUCUGGGAAGGGAGUGGCUCACAUUUGUGAGGUUUGCGGAAGAAGCCUCUUGGACCCAUUCCGCUUCUGUUCUCUGGGCUGUAAGCUUGUGGGAGUGAAGAGGAAUGGGGAUGCAAACUUUGCUUUGGAAGGAAACAACGAGGCGAUGGCGAGGGGGGAGGGAAUAUCAAGGAGAUCAGUAUCGGAAGAAGAAUCGCGUGAAGGCUCACAACAAGACAUGUAUCCGGCCACGCCUCCUCCACCUGCUUCAACCGCAAGGAGAAGAAAAGAAAAUUAGGGGAAAUAAUGGAGAGGGACAGAGAGAAAGUGAGGGAGGGAGGGUAGCGGAUGUUGAAAGAUCGUGUUUAUUACGUAGCGUCAUUUUCUCUCCCGAACAAAUGAGCCAAAGCAAUUAGGUAGAGCAGAUGUUAAUUGAUAGCUACCCAGAGUUUUCAAUUCGCAAAACGUGCGUCACCCAAGAAUUCAACUGAAAGGGGUCCACAGGCAAGAGUUCUCCUGCACUAUGGACCUAACAAUUAAUUUACCCAUCACGAUAUAAAGUUUACAUGCCCCUAUGCGCUCGGUCCUUUUCUGUCUACUCAGUUGCAUUGGAUAAACACGCGCGCGCGACAAUACAUCUGACUUUUAAAAUGUCCAGUAAGUUUGUUCGUCUUUUAUACUUAUUAAAAUUUGCAUUAUCUUGUUGUGUGAUAUUUCACACAAUGAUACCAAUUUCAUGUAGGGCGUAUUUGGAAUUAAAGACGUCAAACAUGUUGAUGUAUCCCCGGACGUCCAUGGUAGUGAAAUCGCAUUAAACAUUCAGGCUCAUGCAUUUUCUUUUUUUCUUUCGGUUACGAUCUUCAAUUCAGUGCGAAUUCAUGCACAUUCACUUACCGAAAAAUAUCUGGGAAAAGGUACCUGCAAAAAGUUGAUCGAUAAAGCAUUAAGCAACGAAGGUACAAGUGCGUGUCAUAAAAAACCUUAUGAUCGGGCCCUUCUUUGCAACGUUCAACAAAUCUAUGCACUACACGUGAAACCAUAAGGUCACACCGUCACAGUAUAAGCAAUGUGCGUUUAUCUUCUUUGUACACAUAGUAACGGGGGAAAAUUUAUUACGGUUGAAUUCUUGGAAAGGCCAGAAAUGAAUUGAGAAAGAAUGAGAGUAAGGAAGCCCAUUCAACGCAAUCUAUUUUUUUAGGGGGUGGGGAAAAAACAAAUCUCAAUUGGGUAGAAUGCCUUUCGAUCUUUCAUUUCUACUAUUCCGAAACUGCGCGAAAGACAUCAUCAACAUGGACGAUACCUGAUCAAGCGCUUUAGCAUGCGCAAUCCCAAUUCCUGUAGCGACAGGGGGCGAGGAAGAAGAAGAAGCAGAAGCUUUAUUUUCCUCAUCCCUCUGUAUGCUGACAGAAACAAACGACGAAUGAUCCAUGGACAGAGACCUCUUCAACCCCAUCAUGGAACCCUGAUGAGGAUUUUCCUGCGCGUGAUGAUACGCCACAGAGAGAGAAUGCCGAAUCGUGGAAGCAGCACGAGGGGCUCGUGACGUGGAACCAGAAGCAGCAAUCUUAUGAUCAUGAUCACGUUGAUGAGACUGCCUUUCCUCAGCAUCAGCAACAUGAUCUUCUGAAGCCGCAGGGGCAAUGACUAAUGGCGCUCGACAAAUGGGACAAUUGGAAUUUUGAGUGAACCAGAGAUCGAUACAAGGUACGUGAAAAGCGUGACUGCAAGAAGGCAAUAAUCGAACCUUUUCUCCGUCCUGCAAUUCGCCUAAGCAAAUAGCGCACUCGGUCUGGUCCAGACGAAAGGCGUCAUCUUUCUUGUGAGAGUAAGGCAGAAUAGGGAUUUUCUUGAGGAUCUCAGGGUCGACGCCGCAGGGAAUGUCAUCAGGAGGGGGGCUCAUUGGCUGAGCUAUUUGCCGCAAUUGUCGUCGGCCUUGAAGGCAAAGCCUGAAGAGGAUGAAGUGGUACGUCGCUAAGGCCACACAAGAGCAGAUGAUGCCGGCGCCGGAGAUAAUGAGAGGGUUCACAAAGUAACCAAGGUUGCCUUGGCCAUCAGCGGCGGCAUUGUUGCUGUUCAUGUCUCGUGUAAUGUUGUUCUUUUCUGUGUUGGUGUUGCAGUUGCCUCAACUUGUGGUUAAUUGUGGCAGACCGAGGAUAUGGUUUUUCGCUUUCAGAUGUUAGUUCCAAUAAAGCAGGAAGCCGUUGGGUUGACUGCUUGAGAGAUUUUCUUGCCAUGACCUCCACGUAGCGGCUUCAGACAGUGCAAUCUCAUCUCCAGUUCCAUUCUAGUGGUACUGUAUUGGACAAGUGUAACUGUGUGUGUUUUUAUAAUAAUUCUCCGUUUUAUUUU